GCUGUGCUAGUGGGUGCUGUGCUGUUCCUGGGCCCUCCCCCAACCUAGGUUAAGAUACAAACCUGAGCUCAGAGACCUGGGACCCUGGUUUGCACUGGAACUAUGAGAUCACUAACAAGAAUCACUAUUCUCCUAACUUUAGGUAUUAUGAGCGAUGCUGACACCACACAGCCAAAUGCAAUGGAGAGUACUGAAGGAGAGCCUGUCCACCUGCCCUGUAACCACUCCACAAUCAGCGGAAAUGAGUACAUAUAUUGGUAUCGGCAGAUUCCUAACCAGGGUCCGGAGUACAUGAUUCGUGGUCUAAAAGACAAUGUGACUGAAGGAAUAGCCACUCUGAUCAUCACAAGAGCUAGGAAGUCCAGUACUUUGAUUCUGCCCCGGGUUACCCUGGGAGAUGCUGCUGUGUAUUACUGCCUCCUGAGAGAGGCACACUAAGAUAG
This is a non-coding RNA of Lontra canadensis (Northern American river otter), 443 nucleotides long. NCBI's taxonomy places the organism in Eukaryota, Metazoa, Chordata, Mammalia, Carnivora, Mustelidae. The record is from the annotation of a RefSeq genome assembly.